Hippoglossus stenolepis (Pacific halibut) is the source of this 136-nucleotide small nuclear RNA. RefSeq annotates it as U4 spliceosomal RNA. The transcript has a single exon. The record is from RefSeq and is a predicted model, not a curated record. NCBI's taxonomy places the organism in Eukaryota, Metazoa, Chordata, Actinopteri, Pleuronectiformes, Pleuronectidae.
AUCCCUUCGCAGUGGCAGUAUCGUAGCCUAUGAGGUCAAUCCGAGGCGUGAUUAUUGCUAGUUGAAAACUUUAACUAAUUCCUUUGACGACCUGGAAAUAUAGUCGGCAAUGGCACUUUGAUGGUCUCUAUGGAGA